GACGAACGCUGGCGGCGUGCCUAAUACAUGCAAGUAGAACGCACAGUUUAUACCGUAGCUUGCUACACCAUAAACUGUGAGUUGCGAACGGGUGAGUAACGCGUAGGUAACCUGCCUGGUAGCGGGGGAUAACUAUUGGAAACGAUAGCUAAUACCGCAUAAUAUUAAUUAUUGCAUGAUAAUUGAUUGAAAGAUGCAAUUGCAUCACUACCAGAUGGACCUGCGUUGUAUUAGCUAGUAGGUGAGGUAACGGCUCACCUAGGCGACGAUACAUAGCCGACCUGAGAGGGUGAUCGGCCACACUGGGACUGGGACACGGCCCAGACUCCUACGGGAGGCAGCAGUAGGGGAUCUUCGGCAAUGGACGAAAGUCUGACCGAGCAACGCCGCGUGAGUGAAGAAGGUUUUCGGAUCGUAAAGCUCUGUUGUAAGAGAAGAACGGGUGUGAGAGUGGAAAGUUCACACUGUGACGGUAUCUUACCAGAAAGGGACGGCUAACUACGUG
Molecule: ribosomal RNA, 505 nt
Filed under: uncultured bacterium
Lineage: Bacteria
Description: partial 16S ribosomal RNA
Rfam family: Bacterial small subunit ribosomal RNA
Source: RNAcentral